UACGUAGGUGGCGAGCGUUGUCCGGAUUUACUGGGCGUAAAGAGCGCGCAGGCGGCUGGUCAAGUCCGAUGUGAAAGCUCCCGGCUUAACUGGGAAAUUGCAUCGGAAACUGAUCGGCUGGAAGGUGGGAGAGGGUAGCGGAAUUCCCGGUGUAGUGGUGAAAUGCGUAGAUAUCUGGAGGAAUACCGGUGGCGAAGGCGGAUCUCUGGGCCGAUACUGACGCUGAGGAGCGAAAGCGUGGGGAGCGAACAGG
RNAcentral lists this ribosomal RNA (253 nucleotides) under uncultured bacterium. Its description in RNAcentral is "partial 16S ribosomal RNA". It matches the Rfam family "Bacterial small subunit ribosomal RNA", at positions 524 to 776 of the family's 1533-position model. The record is from RNAcentral.